Molecule: transfer RNA, 96 nt
Filed under: Streptomyces thermoviolaceus subsp. thermoviolaceus
Lineage: Bacteria; Bacillati; Actinomycetota; Actinomycetes; Kitasatosporales; Streptomycetaceae
Description: tRNA-Arg
Source: RNAcentral
CCCACCACCGCGGGCGGGCAGCGCCGCGCCGCCCGCCUGCGGUGGUCGCGGGCGUUCCGCUCAGUGCCCGCGGGCGAUCCACUCGUCGAGGUGGGG